AUGCCCGGUGUAGCUCUCACGCCUCGGGCCACGUGUCCAUACUGUGCACGCCUGCCCUUGGCCCCCAGCGCCAUGGUGGGGGAUAUCUACAGCAGCCAGGCUGUGGCCAAGAGCCUGCCCAGGUGGCCCCAUUUCCCCCCCUUGCGUUCCUUCCUGUCGCCCCUCUGUGGCCUCCCCACUUCUCACCCAUCCGUGUGUGUUAGUGGUGGUUUCUCUCCGUGGCACGACUCGGAUGCGGAGUCUGAUGUCACGGGGGCCUCCCCGCACCAGCCCUUUCGACUCAGCCCUCCCAUGGGCUUCGCUGAGCUCGCAGGCGGCUCACGGAGCGGCGGCGAGGGCACUUCACUGGCUGUCGGUGAUGUCCACAGAGGCUCCGCAGAUGUGUGCACGCCCGCUCUCAGAGCGCUCCUCGGUGUGGCGCACUCUGCUCUCCGUGAACGGUUGGAUGAGCAGAGUGAUAAGAGACGGCUACACACUGCAGUUUGCCAGCCCACCCCCUCCAUUCGACGGGGUGCUGGAGACUGUGAUGUCGUCUCAGGCCGGGGCAGAGGCUCUGAUGACAGAGUUGUCGGAGCUCUUGGAGAAAGAAGCCAUCUCCAGAGUUCCGCCAGGCCAGGAGUGCGAGGGUUAUUACUCCCGGUACUUCCUGGUUCCGAAGAAGACAGGCGGAAUGAGACCCAUUCUCGACCUGUCUCUCGUCAACAGAUCGAUUAUGAGGAGGCCGUUCCACAUGCUCACCAUAAAGCAUGUCUUGGAAUGUGUGCGCUCCGGCGACUGGUUCGCAUCCAUCGAUUUGAAAGACGCGUAUUUCCAUGUCCCAAUCGUCCCCAGGCACAGGAAAUUCCUGCGAUUCUCGUUCAGAGGAGUCCAGUUCCAAUACAACCGUCUCCCCUUCCGUUAUUCUCUGGCUCCACGCACGUUCUCCAAGUGCGUGGAGACGGCACUGGAACCGUUACGCAGGCGCGGGAUCAGGGUCAUGUUUUACCUGGACGACCUGCUGGUUCUGGCCUCCUCCGAACACAGCGCGGCUCUCCACACGGUGGAGCUCGCGAGUCACCUGACGCUGCUGGGCUUUGCCAUAAAUUGGCGAAAGAGCUCGCCAGUGCCCACUCAGUGCAUCAUGUAUCUGGACUCGUCCAGCAUGAGAGCGAGUCUCUCCCCCGCGAGGCGGGAGGCGUUGUCCACGGUGCUGAAGGUGCUGCAACACUUCGCUCCCCUGCUGAGAGACCAGCAUGUGUUAGUGAGGACAGACAACAAGACGGCAGCCGCCUACAUCAACCGGCAGGGCGGCGUCCGCUCGGCCCGGCUGUUGGAGACAGCCAGGAGCCUCCUGCUGACUUGAUGUCGCGGGGGGGUCCACGCCAGAGCGAGUGGAAGCUGAAUCCAACUCUCGUUCAGACACUGUGGGCCCGGUUCGGAGAAGCAGAGGUGGAUCUGUUCGCGUCACACGAAAACGCGCAGUGCGCACUGUGGUUUUCCAUGAGCGCGCAGGAGGAACCUCCACUGGGAGUGGACGCGUUCUCUCAUCACCCGUGGCCCAGAGCCCUUCUCUAUGCUUUCCCCCCCAUUCCCCUGAUACCUCGCCUCUUGGCUCGUGUCCAGGAGGAACAGCUCUGGGUGAUUCUGGUUGCUCCAGAGCGCACGAGUGCGUCCUGGUUCCCCACGAUGAUCCAACUGUUGGCUCGCGACCCCUGGCAGCUCCCCUGGCGCAGGGACGCGCUGUCACAGGUCGACCAUUCGAUUCAACAGUUCCCGGUGCUUGGUCAGCGCCUGUGGGCUUGGCCUCUGAGCGGGUGA
RNAcentral lists this long non-coding RNA (1797 nucleotides) under Scophthalmus maximus (turbot). Its description in RNAcentral is "lncRNA (ENSSMAG00000032485.1)". The record is from RNAcentral. Lineage: Eukaryota; Metazoa; Chordata; Actinopteri; Pleuronectiformes; Scophthalmidae.